Molecule: ribosomal RNA, 253 nt
Filed under: uncultured microorganism
Description: partial small subunit ribosomal RNA
Rfam family: Bacterial small subunit ribosomal RNA
Source: RNAcentral
UACGUACCGUCCAAACGUUAUUCGGAAUUACUGGGCUUAAAGGGUACGUAGGCGGCGCUGUUAGUCGGGUGUGAAAGCCCACGGCUCAACCGUGGAAUUGCGCCCGAUACUGCAGUGCUCGAGGGAGACAGAGGUAAGCGGAACUGAUGGUGGAGCGGUGAAAUGCGUUGAUAUCAUCAGGAACACCGGUGGCGAAAGCGGCUUACUGGGUCUCUUCUGACGCUGAGGUACGAAAGCUAGGGGAGCGAAGGGG